GGGGCUGAAUUAUCUGGUCUGGGGAGGGUUUGUGGUUGGUUUGGUUGGAAUGGGAUGAGGAUUUGAGGUGAUCAUCCUCAUAGUUGUCAGCCAUCAGCUUCAUACGGUUCUGUGUCUGCUGCUUGAGCUGUUGCACAAGGCGGUCUUUCUCUCGUUUGAGGGCAGCCACUUCAUCCUGAGUCUUCUUCUUAGAGGAUGAAAGUUCUAGCAGAGCAAUAUUGGCAUCUUUUUCACUAAUGGCAGCAAGAAGGGCUUCUUGUUUCAUCUCCAGGACUUCCUCCAAAUGUUUUCUUCUUUCUGCUCGUAGGUUGGUCAGAUGGGUUUCCUUCUCAGCCAAAGACUGCUGUGUAGAAGACAAUUUUGCUUUCAUUGACUCCAGCUCCUGCUUAACCUUCUCCAUGGCCAUCAUCAGCUCUUCUACCUGUUUCUCAGCAUUGAUCCUGGCUGACUCCUCUUGUGCUAGCACCAUUUCCCGCUCUGCAGUUAUCUGAACACUUUCUCUGAGUGCCUCUUCCAAUUCUUCAAUCCGAUCAUCCUUUUUACGCAGAUUGUCCUGAAGCUGUUGGGAGCUGUCAUUAAGAUUAUCUUCUCGUCUCCUGGCCUCCUCCAGCAUUUGUGCACUCUUCUUCUUCUCCACUUGCUCUUUAUGCUUCAGAUUUGCUACUUUCUUAUUUUGAUCUUUAACUUGCCUCUCCAGUUCCGCAAUUUUCUUAUCCUUAUCAUUCUUCUCAUUUUCCAUCUCCUUCAAGAUUUCCAGAAGACGAUCCACUUCAGCUUGAGCCUUACUUGACUCUUCCCGAUACCUCGUUACCUCCCGCUCCAGCUGCUGCAUGCGAUCACUCAGCUCUGGGCUGGCCCUCGCCUCAAGAGUUGCCUCAUGGGCCUUCUUCAAUUGAGUUUCCAUUUUCAAACAUUCUUCCUUUUUCUGUUCCAAUGCGAUUUCCAGUGUCUUGAGCCUUGAAUCUUUCUUCAGUCCCGAUGAAGCUAAGGAUGAAGCAUGCUCCUUCAGAUCCAGUAAGGAUGACUCUUUCUCUGUGAGAUCUCCUUGUAAAAUGCCGACUUUCUCUUUCAGGUCCUUAAUGUCUUUUUUGUAGGUGUCAAUCUCUUCUUGUUUUUCUCGUUCAUCUCUGUCCCGCUGCUCCUUUAGGCGCUCAAUGGUCCUUUCUUUUUCUGCAAGUGCUUCUUCCAGUGUGGUCAAGGCAGUAUCAGUAUUGGUGGUGUCAGCCUGCAAGGAUUUCACUCGAUCCUUUAAACUGCUCAUUUGCUUUUCCUUGUCUCUUAGCUGCUCUUGAAGAUUUUCAAUCUUCUUCUGAAGAACGUUAACUUUGCGUUCCUUCACCUCUAACAUAUCCUUGAGAUCAUGGAUCUCUCCUGCUUGAGUGCCUUUCUCUUCUGCAAUCUCCUGAAUCUGCUUUGUCUUCUUAUUUAGCAUGGUCUCUUUCUCCUCCAAACGUAAGCGUAAUGCAUCCACCUCUGUCUGCAGAAUGGCCGCUCUUUGCUCUUUAGCUGUAAGAGACUCUUUCAGAACUUCAAUAUGCUGCUUGCUGUCAGAGAACUGAUUUGUGAGGGUCUCCAGCUUUGUCUGCAAGGCUAGCAACUCUGUGUCUUUGCGUGACAGCUCCUGCUUCACCUGACCAAUCUCGGCCUGGAGACCAGCCACUCUUUUUUUCAG
Molecule: long non-coding RNA, 1672 nt
Filed under: Gallus gallus (chicken)
Lineage: Eukaryota; Metazoa; Chordata; Aves; Galliformes; Phasianidae
Source: RNAcentral